GGGGGCGAAUUGGAUUCGACGGGAAUGGAUCGGGGUGGGGAGGCGUGCCGGGUUCCGAGCUCCCGUAAAACGAUCGGAAAACCAAAACUGCCAAUCCGCAGUUUGCAUACGCUGCUUAACUAGCUUGAGCAGCCGCUCCCGCUGGCCGCGCCCGCAGGCCAGUGACGGGCGUCAUCUCGCGGGCUGGGCCGAGGGCUUCUGUCCGUAGCCGCAGGCCGAGAUCAAUCGGGCUAGGUUGCCGCCGCUCUUGCCGGCUCUCGAGGCGAUGACCGAAAAUUUGGAACCGGCUACGCACGUAGGCUCUUUACAGCGAACGCUCUCGGACGCGGGUUCAACUCCCGCCGCCUCCACCA
This 353-nucleotide transfer-messenger RNA is filed under the name Acidobacteriota bacterium. RNAcentral's name for it is "Acidobacteria bacterium (freshwater metagenome) transfer-messenger RNA". It matches the Rfam family "transfer-messenger RNA". From Rfam's summary of the family: Bacterial tmRNA, also known as 10Sa RNA or SsrA, is named for its dual tRNA and mRNA-like properties. Its role is to liberate the mRNA from a stalled ribosome. To accomplish this part of the tmRNA is used as a reading frame that ends in a translation stop signal. Lineage: Bacteria; Pseudomonadati; Acidobacteriota. The record is from RNAcentral.